CGCUGUGACGGGCGGCUCGCAGGAACCCGGCGCUGAGGAGGGAAUACACCCGUCAGUAAGUAACUGAAGGGGACAUGAAGAAUUGACAUUUAAAUGGCCAGCAUGUUGCAAAAGCUCCUUCCUUGGCAGCCAGAUGGAUCUGGAGGUAUGCGAGGCCUUAUCUUGCAUUGGGAAAUAAUGUCUGUAAAUAUGCUGUGAACAAAAUGCUGGAGCUUCUGCUGCUGCCACCCACACAGAGGCAUCAAAGAAAACCCAGCUAUGUUUCAUUUGCAGUAGCUCUCCUACUGAUGGCUU
Cyanistes caeruleus (blue tit) is the source of this 294-nucleotide non-coding RNA. The record is from RefSeq and is a predicted model, not a curated record. NCBI's taxonomy places the organism in Eukaryota, Metazoa, Chordata, Aves, Passeriformes, Paridae.